UACAGAGGUCCCAAGCGUUGUUCGGAUUUACUGGGCGUAAAGGGUGCGUAGGUGGCAAGGUAAGUUUGAUGUGAAAUCUCCGAGCCUAACUCGGAAACUGCAUUGAAUACUAUCAUGCUUGAGGAUUGGAGGGGAGACUGGAAUACUUGGUGUAGCAGUGAAAUGCGUAGAUAUCAAGUGGAACACCAGUGGCGAAGGCGAGUCUCUGGACAAUUCCUGACACUGAGGCACGAAAGCUAGGGGAGCAAACGGG
This 253-nucleotide ribosomal RNA is filed under the name uncultured bacterium. Its description in RNAcentral is "partial 16S ribosomal RNA". It matches the Rfam family "Bacterial small subunit ribosomal RNA", at positions 524 to 776 of the family's 1533-position model. The record is from RNAcentral.